GUGAGUAGUUCAGAGUUUGAUCCUGGCUCAGGAUGAACGCUGGCGGCGUGCUUAACACAUGCAAGUCGAGCGAGUGGAGAACUUCGGUUCAAAGCUAGCGGCGGACGGGUGAGUAACGCGUGGGUAACCUGCCUUGUAAAGGGGGAUAACAGUGAGAAAUUACUGCUAAUACCGCAUAAGACCACAGUAUCGCAUGAUACAGAGGUAAAAGGAGAAAUCCGAUACAAGAUGGACCCGCGUCUGAUUAGCUAGUUGGGGAGGUAACGGCUCACCAAGGCGACGAUCAGUAGCCGACCUGAGAGGGUGACCGGCCACAUUGGGACUGAGACACGGCCCAA
This 338-nucleotide ribosomal RNA is filed under the name uncultured bacterium. RNAcentral's name for it is "bacterial SSU rRNA". It matches the Rfam family "Bacterial small subunit ribosomal RNA", at positions 1 to 334 of the family's 1533-position model. The record is from RNAcentral.